This 423-nucleotide ribosomal RNA is filed under the name Rhodopseudomonas palustris. RNAcentral's name for it is "bacterial SSU rRNA". It matches the Rfam family "Bacterial small subunit ribosomal RNA", at positions 29 to 497 of the family's 1533-position model. Lineage: Bacteria; Pseudomonadati; Pseudomonadota; Alphaproteobacteria; Hyphomicrobiales; Nitrobacteraceae. The record is from RNAcentral.
AGCGAACGCUGGCGGCAGGCUUAACACAUGCAAGUCGAACGGGCACUUCGGUGUCAGUGGCAGACGGGUGAGUAACACGUGGGAACGUACCUUUUGGUUCGGAACAACACAGGGAAACUUGUGCUAAUACCGGAUAAGCCCUUACGGGGAAAGAUUUAUCGCCGAAAGAUCGGCCCGCGUCUGAUUAGCUAGUUGGUGAGGUAACGGCUCACCAAGGCGACGAUCAGUAGCUGGUCUGAGAGGAUGAUCAGCCACAUUGGGACUGAGACACGGCCCAAACUCCUACGGGAGGCAGCAGUGGGGAAUAUUGGACAAUGGGGGCAACCCUGAUCCAGCCAUGCCGCGUGAGUGAUGAAGGCCCUAGGGUUGUAAAGCUCUUUUGUGCGGGAAGAUAAUGACGGUACCGCAAGAAUAAGCCCCGGC